Molecule: long non-coding RNA, 1639 nt
Filed under: Triticum aestivum (bread wheat)
Lineage: Eukaryota; Viridiplantae; Streptophyta; Magnoliopsida; Poales; Poaceae
Description: long non-coding RNA (TAES_LNC025935)
Source: RNAcentral
CCACAAGGUCCAGGGGCGGCAGCGGUCAAGACGGCGAGGCGGUGGCUCUCCAGCGUCCGUACGGCCUCCGGCGCUCGCUCGCCCUUCCUCCUGCGUCUCCUGCCAGCAAGCUUCCAACGGCGCCCGUGUCACCUCCAAGGAUGUCCCGGUACCACUCACCUCCCCCCUCCCCUCUUCCUUCAGAUGAAUUAAUAGCUGACAGCGGCCAGCGUCUCCGAGCUCGCAAGCACCAAGAUUUGACAUGGAGCAGCACAUGGAUGUCGAUUUUGGCAUCUCUGCUUUGAUGAAGCCGGCAUGGCUAGGUAGUUCUUGCUAGUUUUCAGCAUUAAUGAGGGAAGAAGAUGAUUUAAUGUUUUUGGAAGGACUAAUCCAGUGAGGAUGGUGGACAAGAAAAUAGAAGGAAUGUGUAUGUCAAAACUGAAGAAAAGCAUACCACCUUGGUGGCUCUGUUCUCACAAAAGAAGAUUGUUUACUAUUUCACACAAAAUCAGAUUUUUGCCAGCAACUCAUCCACCUUGGUCUCAUCUUUCGUUGACGGCGGAGCAUCAAGUAGCAGUAUCUCUGCGAAAAUCCAUAGAAGUAUCGGAACCGGCUGUGUGUAUGGGAAAAAGAAAAUCCCUAAAUGUAUCUCUGAAACAAUGGCAUUUUUUCAGUGAAUGAACUAAGACUAGCAGUUCAUUUUAAUUCUGUUGUGGGAAUCUAUUUUUGGGAACUCAAUUCUGAACACUUUUCAAAGAGAUAGUAGCUGCCACUGUUUCAAGAAUGUACUAAUUCUCUGAAAAUCGCUUUGUUUUUCUGUAGCAAGUUGUCGUAUGAAUUCUGACAGAAAACUGUCAUUUGUUCAAGAAGGAAUUAUUUUCUGAAUCUUUUUUUGUAUUUCUGUAGCAACUUAUUGUAUGAAUUCUUAACACUGUGCAAGGAAAUCAGCAGCUGCCAUUGUUCAAAGAAUGAGCUAAAUCUCUGAAAAUCGCUUUUGUUUUUCUGUAGCAAGUUAAUGUAUGAAAACUGAAUAUUGUUCAAAGAAGUCAGCAGCUGCCAUUAUUUCUACAUCAGUUUACCCCCUCUUAGUAGAAAGGAACAACUCACUUCUCUCGCUACUCCUAAUUUUUUGUUGUGCUUUUCUGUAGGAGGAGAAAUUCAUCAUCAGAUCACAAGAACCACAGAACAGCAAGGGUGAUAUUCAGGUUGACAUAUUUCCAUAGACAAUCUAACCUGUACAGGGAUGAGUAAGAGAUGAAAAACAUCAAUUGAAAGCACCGCAAAGGUGUCUAAGCAAUGGUAACAUCAUUUGAAGAACAUCCCUUUCCUUCCCCUGAUUUAUCGUAGGUUAAUAACUUACAGCGUAAAUGUCAAUAUCUUACAGCAUAAUUAUCUUUUUAUAGGCAGUCUUUCACACUAAAACGACAACACAUGCCUUACAAGAUACUUCCUUUUUUCGUACACUGUUCUUCGUGCUAGUAUCAGGUUCAGUAACAUAAACACAAGUAAAAAUGCUCAUCUUUUCUCUCUGCGCCCACCAUGCAAAAAAAGAAGUGCCCCAAGAAGAUAAUUGCCUCCAUUUCUUUUCCCAUAGCAUCCUAUGCGCGUUGUAGCUCUCUGGUCCAGCCCAUGACGCCUCGUUAUGUCGCCUGUUUCUGGA